This 253-nucleotide ribosomal RNA is filed under the name uncultured bacterium. RNAcentral describes it as "partial 16S ribosomal RNA". It matches the Rfam family "Bacterial small subunit ribosomal RNA", at positions 524 to 776 of the family's 1533-position model. The record is from RNAcentral.
UACGGUGGGGGCAAGCGUUGUUCGGAAUUACUGGGCGUAAAGGGCUCGUAGGCGGCCAACUAAGUCAGACGUGAAAUCCCCAGGCUCAACCUGGGAACUGCGUCUGAUACUGGAUGGCUUGAAUUCGGGAGAGGGAUGCAGAAUUCCAGGUGUAGCGGUGAAAUGCGUAGAUAUCUGGAGGAAUACCGGUGGCGAAGGCGGCAUCCUGGACCGACAUUGACGCUGAGGAGCGAAAGCCAGGGGAGCAAACGGG